GGCCAUAUACUGUACAUAUACUAAAAUUGGAACGAUACAGAGAAGAUUAGCAUGGCCCCUGCGCAAGGAUGACACGCAAAAAAUUAGACGCAUACUAACAAAGA
RNAcentral lists this small nuclear RNA (104 nucleotides) under Ixodes scapularis (black-legged tick). The record is from RNAcentral. Lineage: Eukaryota; Metazoa; Arthropoda; Arachnida; Ixodida; Ixodidae.